Molecule: ribosomal RNA, 253 nt
Filed under: uncultured prokaryote
Description: partial 16S ribosomal RNA
Rfam family: Bacterial small subunit ribosomal RNA
Source: RNAcentral
ACGUAGGCAGCGAGCGUUGUUCGGAGUUACUGGGCGUAAAGCGUGCGUAGGCGGUUUUGUAAGUUUGGUGUGAAAUCUCCCGGCUCAACUGGGAGGGUGCGCCGAAAACUGGAGAGCUAGAGUACUGGAUGGGAGAGUGGAAUUCCUGGUGUAGCGGUGAAAUGCGUAGAUAUCAGGAGGAACACCGGUGGUGUAGACGGCUCUCUGGACAGUAACUGACGCUGAGACGCGAAAGCGUGGGUAGCAAACAGGA